Molecule: RNA transcript, 2508 nt
Organism: Hyla sarda
Lineage: Eukaryota; Metazoa; Chordata; Amphibia; Anura; Hylidae
Gene name: cytochrome c oxidase assembly protein COX11, mitochondrial
Exons: 7
Source: RefSeq, a predicted model, not a curated record
AUGUCACUGUGGAGGUUUGGGUGCCGGGGUCCUGGGCGGUGGGCUCCGCUCCUGAGAUGUUGUCUCCGGGGGUUCGGGAGCCAAAACAAGCAACAAGACUGGAGGACGCGGAACAAGACGGUGCUGACCUACGUGACCGCCGCGGCCGUGGGGAUGGUCGGCAUGUCCUAUGCUGCCGUGCCGCUCUACAGGCUGUACUGUCAGGCCACGGGUCUGGGUGGGACGGCUGUAGCUGGACACAGUUCAGACCAGAUUGAGUCUAUGAAGCCUGUGACGGAUCGGAUCAUCAAGAUCACAUUCAAUGCGGAUGUCCAUGCCGGGCUAAACUGGAACUUCAGACCUCAGCAGACAGAGAUCUACUUAGUUCCGGGUGAAACCGCUUUAGCGUUUUACAAGGCGAAAAAUUCUACAGACAAGCCGGUUAUAGGAAUCUCUACAUACAACGUCAUCCCGUAUGAAGCCGGCCAGUAUUUCAACAAAAUUCAGGAGUAAAAGGAAGAACAAAAGCACCGCCGGUACAACUACUUUCUCCUGCAGAGGAUUAUGGUAAAUUAUUGUGAGUAAAGAUGUGUUAUUCCCAUUGCUGGAGCUAGAGGGCGCUGUGAGAUGUUCAGAAACUCCGAGGCUUAACAAUAGAGUUGAGGAAAUACUCUCUCAACCAAUCACUGGUGGGUCACCGCAUGGAUGUAUGUUUGGAGGAAAGUACUAAGUGCGGAUCGGACUCCAUUGGGGCAGUGCUGGGGGUCCAGGCAGGUCAUCCACGAGUCCCACAUGGAAAACCUGGUAGGAGCGGAUACUUGGAAAGUAGAUGACUUUGACCCAGGACAGGGGAAGACUCACAAAGUAACACCGAAAAGUCGCGGAACGCUAUCGUUGGGGAACGAUGACAAAAAAGAAAGGUCUAUACAAAUAGUAAUGGCUCUAAGUAUAAAUCUAACUUCCGAAGAAUCAUAUUAUGAAGAACUGAACAAGGACGGACAUUGGCUACAAGUUUCCCCGAGAACAAGUGAGUGCCGCCCUCCUGAACCGGGCCCUGAAUGAAUAUGAUAUAAAUACAUGAUCCACUAUAUGCACAGGAUAUGAUAUAUGGAGUGUAGAAUAUGUGUACAGUACUUCACUGAUGUAUUUUCACGCUUUGAAUAUGUAUGAUCACUGAUAUUUGAGUAUCCUUGUAAUUUAUUUUGACAUUUGAGUGACCCCCCCUCAUCUGAAUGUGUAAUUGGAGGCCUAUGUGGUGCUCUGAGACGUCUGGACUGGACUUGACCUCAGGAUCUAAAAGCAAUGAAUCAGCUGCAGGAGAGCCCUUAGGGCACAGAGGGACUCAACCUGACAGGGCUGGGACAUCACACCUAUAUAUAUGUAAUCCACUGCACAGAGUGUUAUGCUUGAGAAAGGCUCUAGUGAGGAGCCAAAACGUUGCUUUUUUUCUGUGAAACAGCUGGAAUUUUACUCUUAAUGCAUUACAGUACAAUACAUAUACUUGAAUGUAGCUUGAACCAGUAGAGCAUUGGUGGUACAAUUUAGGAUUAAAGAGGUACUCCGGUGGAAAACAUUCAACAUCAACUGGUGGCAGAAAGUUAAACAGAUUUGUAAAUUUCUUCUAUUUACAAAUCUUAACCCUUCCAGUACUUAUCAGCUGCUGUAUACUACAGAGGAAGUUGUGUAGUUUCUUUUCUGUCUGACCACAGUGCUCUCUGCUGCCACCUCUGUCCAUGUCAGUAACUGUCCAGAGUAGGAGCAAAUACCCAUAGCAAACCUCUUGUGCUCAUGAGACACGCCUCCUACAUAUACAUGGGACAUCACGAGGGUGUGUGGUGGUGACAUCACGACCACUGCCGCAGGAACCGGGCAAUUAUUUAGAAUGCUGGGUGCAGCAGUAGACCGUGGGAAUAAGAUGUCUAGCAGCGGAGUACCCCUUUUAAGACACCCCAGCGUGGGUAAUAUAUUCCGCUGGCAGAUUGUGUUAAUCGUAGUUAACGCCGGUAAAUGCCAUUGCAGACACAGCGUGGCCCCUGACCGGGCUUUAAACGUUUCAGCCUUGAAUGCCGAUUCCCUGUAGAGGACUUCAGAUACAAGUCAACAUGUGUUUGGCCUUCUUCAAAACAAUAUGUGGAGUUUCCUCUUGGACGUCGGCCUAAAUCCCUAAUACUGGAUAAUGCUCUUUGGUGCCUGCGUAUCGGAUACACUACAUGGUUUGCCAAGAAUCAGAAGGGAGAAAUUGACAUGAAUUCAUCUGGCCCCCGUUCUGCCUGACAGCCCCACCAGCUGUGCGCCAUGCCAUAUUUUUAAUAAACAGACUUAGCUGGAAAAGCUCACAAACGCCUGACGGAUUAUACGCGCGCGCGCCGUCUGCGCUCAGACAUUUCAUUCCCACGUAUUACCAAAAACUGCUUUCACAACUGUACAUUGUGUUUGGUAUCAGGAUGGAUCUUUGUUGCCAUAUUUCAUCUUUUAUUUCUACACCUGUCUUCUGCCUAAAAUACAACUUUGGAAAACAAUGGUCUUGUA